CGGGGUGUGGCUCAGUUGGUAGAGUGCUCGCUUUGGGAGCGAGAGGUCGAGAGUUCGAGUCUCUCCACCCCGACCA
Molecule: transfer RNA, 76 nt
Filed under: Candidatus Woesebacteria bacterium
Lineage: Bacteria; Candidatus Woeseibacteriota
Description: tRNA-Pro
Rfam family: tRNA
About the family: Transfer RNA (tRNA) molecules are approximately 80 nucleotides in length.
Source: RNAcentral